GGGGAACGGUGGCAAUGGCAUUAGGAAGGUACAAGCAGUAGAGAAGCCACAGAACAUUAGAGGCGCUAGACCAGCUCCACUGGAGAUACUAAACCAUGUGAAAAUGAACAACACACUUGAGACUCCUCGCUCCACCAUUAAAGGGUUCCUCAAAGUUCCCCAGAAGACAGAACUGAAAUUCACAAGGGAAAAUCUGAGGAGAGUUGAGGAACAACUCAAGCGUGCUUUCGUUGAGUUUUACCAAAAGCUUCGGCUCCUUAAGAGUUACAGCUUCUUGAAUACAUUAGCAUUUUCGAAAAUCAUGAAGAAGUAUGAUAAGAUUACUUCAAGAGAUGCAUCAAAAGCUUACAUGAAAAUGGUGGACAACUCCUACCUUGGCAGUUCUGAUGAGGUAACCAAAGUCAUGGAAAGGGUUGAAGCUACAUUCAUUAAGCAUUUCUCAAACUCAAAUCGGAGCAAGGGAAUGAGCAUCUUAAGACCAAAAGCGAAAAGAGAAAGACACAGGACAACAUUUUAUAUGGGUUUUUUCUCUGGCUGCACAGCAGCUCUUAUAAUAGCUCUUAUUUUGAUCAUACGUGCCCGCAAUAUCAUGGAUGAGCCAGGGAGAGAAACAUACAUGAAAACCUUGUUUCCCCUUUACAGCUUGUUUGGGUUCAUUGUCCUGCAUUUGAUAAUGUAUGCUACCAAUAUAUUCUUCUGGAGGAGAUACCGAGUGAAUUAUUCCUUCAUAUUUGGUUUCAAACAAGGAAGAGAAAUGGGCUAUCGACAAGUUUUCCUUGUUGGUUUCGGUAUUGCAGUACUAGCACUGAUCUGCGUGCUCUCAAACCUCGACAUGGAGAUGGACCCUAAAACAAAAGCUUAUGAGCAAUUUACUGAACUUCUCCCUCUGAUCCUGGUUAUACUUCUCCUUGUUCUGCUGUUCUUGCCAUUCAAUGUCCUAUACCGUUCAGCUCGCUUCUUCUUACUCAUAUGUCUCUUUCACUGUAUUGCAGCUCCUCUCUAUAAGGUUGUACUCCCUGAUUUUUUCUUGGCAGAUCAACUGACCAGCCAGGUGCAAGCUAUCAGAAGUCUGGAGUUCUAUGUCUGCUAUUAUGGUUGGGGAGACUACAAACAGAGAGAAAACACUUGCAAAACAAGUGGUGUAUACAACACCUUCUAUUUCAUCGUUGCUGUGAUUCCUUACUGGUCUCGUCUUCUUCAGUGCCUUCGGCGUCUGUUUGAAGAGAAAGAUCCAAUGCAAGGAUACAAUGGAUUGAAGUAUUUUGUGACAAUAGUAGCUGUUUCCCUGAGGACAGCUUACAGUCUUAACAAAGGGAUUGCUUGGAAAGUGAUUGCUUGGAUUUUCUCAGUCACAGCAGCAAUCGCAGGUACAUACUGGGAUCUGGUUAUUGAUUGGGGGCUUCUUCAGCGCCAUUCCAAGAACCGUUGGCUGAGAGACAAACUCCUUGUCCCUAACAAAAUUAUAUACUAUGUAGCCAUGGUUUUGAAUGUCUUGCUGAGAUUCGCUUGGUUACAGACUGUCUUGAAUUUCACGUUCUUUUCCUUGCAUAAAGAGACUUCAAUUGCCAUUGUUGCUAGCCUCGAGAUCAUUCGCCGUGGCAUAUGGAAUUUCUUCAGGUUGGAGAAU
This 1627-nucleotide unclassified non-coding RNA is filed under the name Hevea brasiliensis (rubber tree). Lineage: Eukaryota; Viridiplantae; Streptophyta; Magnoliopsida; Malpighiales; Euphorbiaceae. The record is from RNAcentral.